Molecule: ribosomal RNA, 391 nt
Filed under: uncultured bacterium
Lineage: Bacteria
Description: bacterial SSU rRNA
Rfam family: Bacterial small subunit ribosomal RNA
Source: RNAcentral
GUGUCAGCCGCCGCGGUAAUACGGAGGAUCCAAGCGUUAUCCGGAUUUAUUGGGUUUAAAGGGUGCGUAGGCGGCCUGUUAAGUCAGUGGUGAAAGUCGGCAGCUCAACUGUCGAAUUGCCUUUGAUACUGGCAGGCUUGAAUGAAGUUGAAGAGGGCGGAAUGUGACAUGUAGCGGUGAAAUGCAUAGAUAUGUCACAGAACACCGAUUGCGAAGGCAGCUUACUAUGGUGUUAUUGACGCUGAGGCACGAAAGCGUGGGGAUCAAACAGGAUUAGAUACCCUGGUAGUCCACGCCCUAAACGAUGAAUACUCGCUGUUAGCGAUAUACAGUUAGCGGCUAAGCGAAAGCAUUAAGUAUUCCACCUGGGGAGUACGCUCGCAAGGGUGAA